UGUGAUUCUGUGAUUCUAUGUUUCUAUGAUAACAACACAGGAAAGCUCUCCCUCCUCUGUAUGUCACUGACACUUGAAUCUCUCUUCAUCAAAAGCAGCCUGAAGUAAGCACAGCAAUUGGAUAAUGGCAGAGUACAGCCGUCUUUGUGGUAGAUAAAGUGAUUUCUGGCUCUCAAAAAAAGACCCAUUUCCCACAUAAAUAAAAAAUAGCAAGAAUAAGUUGGAUGUUGCUCUGGCUCACAUCUGCUUCCAAGUUCUGCUCAGGUCAUGCAAAACAAACUGCCCAGCACGAGCAAAGAACCCCCACACUUCUGGCAGACCAGUUUUUGUCAGUCAUGUCUCAUGUGCUGUUCAUUAUCUGGAUGAGAUCAGCUGAUGAAGUGUUGAAACUGAGCUUUUCCACAGGUGGAUUCAUUUGUGACUGUGAGGGGAAUGUAAAUCUGUGACUUUAACUUUUGAUUGUGCCUACAAUAAUGGGCUUCAUAAAGUACGGUUCUGUC
Gallus gallus (chicken) is the source of this 500-nucleotide long non-coding RNA. RefSeq lists it as uncharacterized. NCBI's taxonomy places the organism in Eukaryota, Metazoa, Chordata, Aves, Galliformes, Phasianidae. The transcript is spliced from 3 exons. The record is from RefSeq and is a predicted model, not a curated record.